This is a non-coding RNA of Schizosaccharomyces pombe (fission yeast), 1060 nucleotides long. Lineage: Eukaryota; Fungi; Ascomycota; Schizosaccharomycetes; Schizosaccharomycetales; Schizosaccharomycetaceae. The record is from the annotation of a GenBank genome assembly.
AUUUAGGAUAACUAAAAGUAAAAAAAAAAUAUUUGAGCAGUGAAGAUGUGAACGAUUUGACAGAUAUUAGUUAAAUGAGCUUUGAAAGAAAGCUAGACACAAAGAUUUACUGACAUCUGCUUCAACCAUCUGAGCAAUACCAAAUUGUACUGUGUAUACACUAUCCUUGGUAGACGCGUUUACAUUCACCUACAGCAACUACGUGAAUAUCGUUAAAACUAAGAUUUCGAUAAAUGAAGAAAUUGAGUCACAGUUUCAUAGGAAUACGUUAAUUGUUUACUUAACGUAAACGAUCAUGUUACUGAAUUUUGAUAGAGUAGAAAGUUAUCGAAGUUAUCUGGUUUGAAAGAAAUAGUGUGGAUUUUUCAGUUGCUUUUAGUCAAUUUAAAAAUUGCUAAUAGUUAGGAAGUACAACGCGUAUUUGAAAUUUGGAAAUAGAAAUAUUAUUUCAUUAUCCACGGAAAACAGAACAAGAGAAUCUAGGCUGAAUUUCAUUGAUCGGUACAAAGUACUAAUAACAAUAUUCAACUUUCAACUCGAGACAUUACAAUCAGAAAUUGUGUGAAAUAUAGAAGGUAAGCAAUGUUAGGUUACAACGAAAAAAUAAGUCAUAACUCAAUAAUUGAUGUUAAUGGAGGUGAUUAGGAGAGAAACGGGUUUCUUUCGUCUAUAGAAAUGACAACAUUUCGCAGAAUGCGUGCUAGCUUUUGAAUGUAAACUGAUUGAUACAAGCAUUUGAAAUUCUACAGCACACCAAUAAAUUUAUUGCUAUAUACAACGUUUAUUCCUUGCGUUUCAUCGUGAUUUAUUCAGUUUAGCAUAUGUCGAUGGGUAUUCAGUAGUAUAAAUAUCACAAUCCAUAAAAGCUUACUUACUUAUUUUUAAAGAAUUAAAAAUAUUGAUCUCAUUUAUUGAUAUAAAACGUAUUAUCCAACUGCACUGCGACCUCUAAACUUGAUGGAUCGCUUAUAGGCUUCAUGACUUGCAGUAACGCAACCACUUAAUUUCACUGAUAUCCCCAUCUUUUGUUUUCUAGGAAAGUCCAAGUUUUGAAUGUUGC